RNAcentral lists this ribosomal RNA (1484 nucleotides) under uncultured Bordetella sp. RNAcentral's name for it is "partial 16S-23S ribosomal RNA intergenic spacer". It matches the Rfam family "Bacterial small subunit ribosomal RNA". Lineage: Bacteria; Pseudomonadati; Pseudomonadota; Betaproteobacteria; Burkholderiales; Alcaligenaceae. The record is from RNAcentral.
GGCUCAGAUUGAACGCUGGCGGGAUGCUACACAUGCGAGUCGAACGGCAGCACGGACUUCGGUCUGGUGGCGAGUGGCGAACGGGUGAGUAAUGUAUCAGGAACGUGCCCGAAAGCGGGGGAUAACUACGCGAAAGCGUAGCUAAUGCCGCAUACGCCCUUCCAGGGAAAGCGGGGACCUUCGGGCCUCGCACUGGCAAACGGCCGAUAUCGGAUUAGCUAGUUGGUGGGGUAACGGCUCACCAAGGCGACGAUCCGUAGCUGGUUUGAAGGACGACCAGCCACACUGGGACUGGACACGGCCCAGACUCCUACGGGAGGCAGCGGUGGGGAAUUUUGGACAAUGGAAACCCUGAUCCAGCCAUCCCGCGUGUGCGAUGAAGGCCUUCGGGUUAUCGCGCUGCUUUUGGCAGGAAAGAAACUGGCAGGAUAAUACCCGAUGCAACUGACAGUACCUGCAGAAUAAGCACCGGCUAACUACGUGCCAGCAGCCGCGGUAAUACGUAGGGUGCAAGCGUUAAUCGGAAUUACUGGGCGUAAAGCGUGCGCGAGCGGUUCGGAAAGAAGAUGUGAAAUCCCAGGCUUAACUUUGGAACUGCAUUUUUUUAACUACCGAGCUAGAGUGUGUCAGAGGGAGGUGGAAUUCCGCGUGUAGCAGUGAAAUGCGUAGAUAUGCGGAGGAACACACGUGCUUGAAGGCAGCCUCCUGGGAUAACACUGACGCUCAUGCACGAAAGUAAGGGGAGCAAACAGGAUUAGAUACCCUGGUAGUCCACGCCCUAAACGAUGUCAGCAGCUGUUGGGGCCUUCGGGCCUUGGUAGCGCAACUAACGCGUGAAGUUGACCGCCUGGGGAAGUACGGUCGCAAGAUUAAAACUCAAAGGAAUUGACAGGGACCCGCACAAGCGGUGGAUGAUGUGGAUUAAUUCGAUGCAACGCACAAAAACAUACCUACCCUUGACAUGUCUGGAAUCCCGAAGAGAUUUGGGAGUGCUCUCGCAAGAGAACCGGAACACAGGUGCUGCAUGGCUGUCGUCAGCUCGUGUCGUGAGAUGUUGGGUUAAGUCCCGCAACGAGCGCAACCCUUGUCGACUGAAUUGCUACGAAAGGGCACUCUAAUGAGACUGCCGGUGACAAACCGGAGGAAGGUGGGGAUGACGUCAAGUCUCAUGACCCCUUAUGGGUAGGGCUUCACACGUCAUACAAUGGUCAGGACAGGGUCGCCAACCCGCGAGGGGGAGCCAAUCCCAGAAACCCGUCAGCGCAGUCCGGAUCGCAGUCUGCAACUCGACUGCGUGAAAGUCAGAAUCGCUAGUAAUCGCGGAUCAGCAUGUCGCGUGGGAAUACGUUUCCCGGGUCACCCCUUACACACACCGCCCGUCACACCAUGGGAGUGGGUUUUACCAGAAGUAGUUAGCCUAACCGUAAGGAGGGCGAUUACCACGGUAGGAUUCGCGAAGGCUAGGUGAAGUCAUGUCAAGGUAA